This 336-nucleotide unclassified non-coding RNA is filed under the name soil metagenome. RNAcentral's name for it is "partial contains 5.8S ribosomal RNA, internal transcribed spacer 2, and large subunit ribosomal RNA". The stretch from base 1 to 120 matches the Rfam family "5.8S ribosomal RNA", at positions 35 to 154 of the family's 154-position model. The record is from RNAcentral.
GAUGAAGAACGCAGCGAAAUGCGAUAAGUAGUGUGAAUUGCAGAAUUCAGUGAAUCAUCGAAUCUUUGAACGCACAUUGCGCCCGCCAGUAUUCUGGCGGGCAUGCCUGUUCGAGCGUCAUUUCAACCAUCAAGCCCCCGGCUUGUGUUGGGGACCUGCGGCUGCCGCAGGCCCUGAAAAGCAGUGGCGGGCUCGCUGUCACACCGAGCGUAGUAGAUUUCAUCUCGCUCAGGGCGUGCUGCGGGUUCCGGCCGUUAAACCACCUUCAUAACCCAAGGUUGACCUCGGAUCAGGUAGGAAGACCCGCUGAACUUAAGCAUAUCAAUAAGCGGAGGA